Molecule: ribosomal RNA, 222 nt
Filed under: uncultured bacterium
Lineage: Bacteria
Description: partial 16S ribosomal RNA
Rfam family: Bacterial small subunit ribosomal RNA
Source: RNAcentral
UACGUAGGGUGCGAGCGUUAAUCGGAAUUACUGGGCGUAAAGCGUGCGCAGGCGGAUUGUUAAGCAAGAUGUGAAAUCCCCGGGCUUAACCUGGGAACUGCGUUUGUGACUGUAUAACUCGAGUGUGGCAGAGGGGGUGGAAUUCCACGUGUAGCAGUGAAAUGCGUAGAGAUGUGGAGGAACACCGAUGGCGAAGGCAGCCCCUGGGUCGACACUGACGCU